Molecule: unclassified non-coding RNA, 201 nt
Filed under: plant metagenome
Description: partial contains small subunit ribosomal RNA, internal transcribed spacer 1, and 5.8S ribosomal RNA
Source: RNAcentral
ACUCCGUUGGUGAACCAGCGGAGGGAUCAUUAUCGAGUUUAUAACUCCCAAACCCUAUGUGAACUUACCACUUGUUGCUUCGGCGCGCGCUUCGGCGCCGCCGAGGACACUUAAACUCUUUGUUUUUAUAAGCAUUUCUGAGUGGCCGAAAGGCAAAAUACAAAUGAAUCAAAACUUUCAACAACGGAUCUCUUGGUUCUG